GAGAACGUCUGGGGCAGGUGGCCAGCGGGCCGCACUUAUAGCGGGAGCCUGCGUCAGGCGCGCCCUGGCCAAUCAGCGCCGUGGGCCGCCCAGACCCGCCUCUUCCGGGGAAAAAAAAAAUCUGCGCAUAUUCUUUAGAUUCUGUUGAAGGCAGCGUGGAAAGUGCCUGGAGGGAAGUCAGUACUACAGCAAACCGGGCUUCUCUGUGCAGCAGUUACGGCUGUUCUGGAACUCACUUCGUAAACCCGGCUAGCCACUGCCUCCCUGGUGCUGGGAUUAAAGAAAGGAAGACACCAAAGGACAAUUUCACCAGUGUUAACGAGGCCAAGAUGACGUUAUUCAAGGCUACCCCAACAACAGCAGAGAGACUAAAAGUCUCAUUGUAUAGUCCAGACUGGUAUAAAACUUGACGUACGGACUAGGCUGGCCUUGAAUGUGCAUCUCCCCUCCUACCUGUGGGAGUCUGGGUACGUGCUACCACAUCCCGCCGUCAGGGGAUUUAUUAUGAAGGAAUGCCGAAUCAAAUAAAAU
Molecule: long non-coding RNA, 531 nt
Organism: Meriones unguiculatus (Mongolian gerbil)
Lineage: Eukaryota; Metazoa; Chordata; Mammalia; Rodentia; Muridae
Exons: 5
Source: RefSeq, a predicted model, not a curated record